Molecule: unclassified non-coding RNA, 546 nt
Filed under: uncultured fungus
Lineage: Eukaryota; Fungi
Description: sequence contains ITS1, 5.8S rRNA gene, ITS2
Rfam family: 5.8S ribosomal RNA (bases 213-366)
Source: RNAcentral
CAUUAUGAGUUGUGAUGGGGUUUGAUGCUGGCAGCCAAUUUUUGGAUGCAUGUGCUUGCCCUAACAAUCAUCUUCCAAACACCUGUGCACAUUUUUGAGGGAAUUUCGAGUUGAUUGCCGCNUUUGGGUGAUUUUCUUGCAUUCCCUUAAAUCAUUAUACGCUAUUAACAAUUCUGAACGUGCCCUGUGCCGCAAGGCCAUUAAUAUAAUACAACUUUUAACAACGGAUCUCUUGGCUCUCGCAUCGAUGAAGAACGCAGCGAAAUGCGAUAAGUAAUGUGAAUUGCAGAAUUCAGUGAAUCAUCGAAUCUUUGAACGCACCUUGCGCUCCCUGGUAUUCCGGGGAGCACGCCUGUUCGAGUGUCGCGAAAUUUCUCAAGCUUGGAUGGCUUUUUGUCUAUCCUUAGCCUUGGUUGUUGGGCUUUGCCGUGUCUUUAUUGGUACGGCUGGCCUUAAAAGCAUUANCUGACCCUUGUGUAGCACCGGUUCUACUCAGCGUGAUAACAGUCUGAUCGCUGAGGACAUCUUUUGAGGUGGCCAGUUCUC